This 429-nucleotide ribosomal RNA is filed under the name uncultured bacterium. Its description in RNAcentral is "bacterial SSU rRNA". It matches the Rfam family "Bacterial small subunit ribosomal RNA", at positions 355 to 775 of the family's 1533-position model. The record is from RNAcentral.
CGGGGAAUUUUGCGCAAUGGGGGAGACCCUGACGCAGCAACGCCGCGUGAGUGAUGAAGGCCUUCGGGUCGUAAAGCUCUGUCAGAGGGGAAGAAAUGCAGGGGUGCUAAUAUCAUCUUUGCUUGACGGUACCCUCAAAGGAAGCACCGGCUAACUCCGUGCCAGCAGCCGCGGUAAUACGGAGGGUGCGAGCGUUGUUCGGAAUUAUUGGGCGUAAAGCGCGUGUAGGCGGUUUGGUAAGUCUGAUGUGAAAGCCCCGGGCUCAACCUGGGAAGUGCAUUGGAAACUGUCAGACUUGAAUACGGGAGAGGGUAGUGGAAUUCCUAGUGUAGGAGUGAAAACCGUAGAUAUUAGGAGGAACACCGGUGGCGAAGGCGGCUACCUGGACCGAUAUUGACGCUGAGACGCGAAAGCGUGGGGAGCAAACAG